ACGCGAACAUAUUUGUAUCGAGUUUAGACCGCCACACUUGUGUCGACUAGUGUUGUAUCGCCGUUCGCCUGCAAGCUCCGAGAACACCACGAUGAAGACAACGGUGCUGAUGCUGGCCGUACUUCUUAUCUCAGCAGUGAUGCUGACCCAGGGAUCACCAGCUAAAGGUUCAGGAUCCAGGUUAUUUAGCAGUUCACAAAGCAAGAAAUGUGGGAGCUACUACUGCGAACCGCACCAGACCUGCGAGCCAUCUUUUGUGGGGCCUUCAUGCACCAGUAAACGUGGAGGCAACAAAAAUCCCCAUGGAUGAACACCAACAAGAUCAACCUGCUUGGCUGCUCAAUAAAGUUAAUUGCGCUCACCAA
This 365-nucleotide long non-coding RNA is filed under the name Dermacentor andersoni. RNAcentral's name for it is "uncharacterized LOC126522623". Lineage: Eukaryota; Metazoa; Arthropoda; Arachnida; Ixodida; Ixodidae. The record is from RNAcentral.